Non-coding RNA from Delphinapterus leucas (beluga whale), 1601 nucleotides. NCBI's taxonomy places the organism in Eukaryota, Metazoa, Chordata, Mammalia, Artiodactyla, Monodontidae. The record is from RefSeq and is a predicted model, not a curated record.
UUUCAUAUCUGAAGUGCCAUUGUGUUUGAAACUUAUCAGAACAAACAUACAGUACUUCAGGUGAGUAAAGGUUCAUCUGCCUUCGUGAGUCCUUGGAGCCCUUAACCGCACUUAGAGCAUCGUUGCUAUGGGGACAGAGAGUCCAACAAACAACUUACAACGAACUUUUUAAAAUUCUGUUUGUAAAUUGAAGGUUUCCUGUACGGAUAACUGUGUUCCCUUUUUUUAUUCUGUAGUUCAAAUGUUUUAAUUAGAUUAAAGUGGAGGAGUUUUCACAGUAUGUUGUCGGGUGUAACCCUGACGAUUAACUGGCAACAGUUAACGAUUAGUGACAGCCACCAGCACCUAUGAAAGCGUGUAUCGUAAACCACCGUGCUGUGCAAGCAUGUUGUUUACGCUAUUUGGCUUCAUCUCUUGACAACCCUGAGUUCAGUUUUUAUCUGACCAGCCCGUUUUAAACAGAAGGAACCCAAUGCCGGGCAACGGUUGACUGAGGUCACACAGCUGGAAGCAGGGACCAUGGAAUCGCCACCCACAGCUGUCCACCCAGACCACUGGACUGAUUCUGCUCCAGAAUCCUGCUGAGGCAAAGGAUGGGCCCAAAUUCUUCGUGGAACAGAAGCCUGGGACUGGCCUGGCACGCGGAUUGCAAAGCUGGAAAUGCUGCAAAGCAAUGUCCUGCAAAGAAAAUCAGACUUCCGCCUUGAUAGGCAGACGGCUCUGAUGGAAGCCCCUCAAUCAGAACCUAUGUUCCUUGGGCCCAUAAUUAAGAAAGUUCGAGAGAAAGACUCUUGAAACUAGCUGGAAAAGUAUGCUGUCUUGCCGGGAGAGUUUCAAACAGGCUGGUGAUUACCAUGGGUCAGCCUUGGGGUCCAUGAGCCCUCAUCACAGUUGAUUAUAUGAAACAUAUUUUUUGUCAGCCUCGUCAAAAGGAAAUACAGUAAGAUUCAGUGGGUCGAUCUCGUUUUCUCGAGCGCAGACAAGGCUUCACAGUGAUCUGAGACUCAACUUUGUUCUCCCCAGAAGGAGAAGCAGAGUCUGUACGACCCCUCUGGCACAGCUGAGCCAGUGUUUCUGGAAUCACUGACUGAGAACAUUUUCCUCCCCGUGAACUGCCAGAAGUUUCUUGGGUUUAUUCAAGCUAAUCUGUAUUCCAGAACAAUUCCGGACGAGAUUUGUUAGGAAUACUUCAACAAGGUGGUGUUUGGAAAACACUGCAUGGAGAAAUGGGGUGGCAGGGAAAAGCGUCUCACUCUGAAUCCCUCGGGCCUGGGCCGGUCCUAAGGUAAUUGAAAAGGAAUUGAUUCUUAAUUACCCAGCACAUCGGAGCACAGGGAGAGAGCAUGACCUUUCGGCCCCGUGAAAUGAGGAGCUCGCCCUCCAGCCCAAGGAGCUGAGCAUGAAGAGCCCUCACUCCACGAGGACUUGAAUCACUUUAAACCAAUUUGCUUCUUGUUAAGACGCACUUCAGUGAAACAUCAUUCCAACUCUUCAGCCACAAAAGGAUAGCCCAUCAUUUAAGGCUUCCUGAGUGUGUCAGUUGCUUCAAAAGGUUUUAAAGAGUAUGGUAAAUAUUUUACCAGAGGGAUAAGUUAUUCAAU